This 403-nucleotide ribosomal RNA is filed under the name uncultured bacterium. Its description in RNAcentral is "partial 16S ribosomal RNA". It matches the Rfam family "Bacterial small subunit ribosomal RNA", at positions 28 to 526 of the family's 1533-position model. The record is from RNAcentral.
GACGAACGCUGGCGGCGUGCCUAAUACAUGCAAGUCGAACGCAGUGGGGACGGGUGAGUAACACGUGGGUAACCUCCCAUCAGAGGGGAUAACACUUGGAAACAGGUGCUAAACCGAUACUGAUGGAUGGAACCGCGGUGCAUUAGCUUGUUGGUGAGGUAACGGCUCACCAAGGCCACGAUGCAUAGCCGACCUGGGAGAGUGAUCGGCCACACUGGGACUGAGCCACGGCCCAGACUCCUGCGGGAGGCAGCAGUAGGGAAUCUUCGGCAAUGGACGAAAGUCUGACCGAGCAACGCCGCGUUAGUGAAGAAGGUUUUCGGAGCGUAAAACUCUGUUGUUAGGGAAGCGUUAUCUAACCAGAAAGCCACGGCUAACUACGUGCCAGCAGCCGCGGUAAUAC